RNAcentral lists this ribosomal RNA (210 nucleotides) under uncultured bacterium. Its description in RNAcentral is "partial 16S ribosomal RNA". It matches the Rfam family "Bacterial small subunit ribosomal RNA", at positions 27 to 230 of the family's 1533-position model. The record is from RNAcentral.
GGAUGAACGCUAGCGGCAGGCUUAAUACAUGCAAGUCGAGGGGCAGCAGCUCUGUAGCAAUACAGAGGCUGGCGACCGGCAAACGGGUGCGGAACACGUACGCAACUUACCCAUAACUGGUGAAUAGCCCUCCGAAAGGAGGAUUAAUACAUCGUAACAUAAUGAGAUGGCAUCAUUUUUAUAUUAUAGCUCCGGCGGUUAUGGAUGGGC